GACGUAGUUGAUCAGUGGACUCAGGACACGCUGGCGGCGUGCCUAACACAUGCAAGUCGAACGGGGUAGAUUCCUUCGGGGAUCUACUUAGUGGCGGACGGGUGAGUAACGCGUGAGCAACCUGCCUUUCAGAGGGGGACAACAGUUGGAAACGACUGCUAAUACCGCAUAACGUAUAUUUGGGACAUCCCUGAUAUACCAAAGGAGCAAUCCGCUGAAAGAUGGGCUCGCGUCCGAUUAGAUAGUUGGUGAGGUAACGGCUCACCAAGUCGACGAUCGGUAGCCGGACUGAGAGGUUGAACGGCCACAUUGGGACUGAGACACGGCCCAGACUCCUACGGGAGGCAGCAGUGGGGGAUAUUGCACAAUGGAGGAAACUCUGAUGCAGCAACGCCGCGUGAGGGAAGAAGGUUUUCGGAUUGUAAACCUCUGUUUUUAGUGAAGAAACAAAUGACGGUAGCUAAAGAGGAAGCCACGGCUAACUACGUG
Molecule: ribosomal RNA, 489 nt
Filed under: uncultured bacterium
Lineage: Bacteria
Description: bacterial SSU rRNA
Rfam family: Bacterial small subunit ribosomal RNA
Source: RNAcentral